Molecule: ribosomal RNA, 468 nt
Filed under: uncultured bacterium
Lineage: Bacteria
Description: partial 16S ribosomal RNA
Rfam family: Bacterial small subunit ribosomal RNA
Source: RNAcentral
GACGAACGCUGGCGGCGUGCUUAACACAUGCAAGUCGAACGGAAAGGCCCUGCUUUUGUGGGGUGCUCGAGUGGCGAACGGGUGAGUAACACGUGAGUAACCUGCCCUUGACUUUGGGAUAACUUCAGGAAACUGGGGCUAAUACCGGAUAGGAGCUCCUGCUGCAUGGUGGGGGUUGGAAAGUUUCGGCGGUUGGGGAUGGACUCGCGGCUUAUCAGCUUGUUGGUGGGGCAGUGGCUUACCAAGGCUUUGACGGGUAGCCGGCCUGAGAGGGUGACCGGCCACAUUGGGACUGAGAUACGGCCCAGACUCCUACGGGAGGCAGCAGUGGGGAAUAUUGCACAAUGGGCGGAAGCCUGAUGCAGCAACGCCGCGUGCGGGAUGACGGCCUUCGGGUUGUAAACCGCUUUCGCCUGUGGCGAAGCGUGAGUGACGGUAAUGGGUAAAGAAGCACCGGCUAACUACGUG